Molecule: ribosomal RNA, 541 nt
Filed under: Campylobacter jejuni
Lineage: Bacteria; Pseudomonadati; Campylobacterota; Epsilonproteobacteria; Campylobacterales; Campylobacteraceae
Description: partial 23S ribosomal RNA
Rfam family: Bacterial large subunit ribosomal RNA
Source: RNAcentral
AAGUUUAGCUAAUGUUGCCCGUACCGUAAACCGACACAGGUGGGUGGGAUGAGUAUUCUAAGGCGCGUGGAAGAACUCUCUUUAAGGAACUCUGCAAAAUAGCACCGUAUCUUCGGUAUAAGGUGUGGUUAGCUUUGUAUUAGGAUUUACUCCGAAAGCAAGGAAACUUACAACAAAGAGUCCCUCCCGACUGUUUACCAAAAACACAGCACUCUGCUAACUCGUAAGAGGAUGUAUAGGGUGUGACGCCUGCCCGGUGCUCGAAGGUUAAUUGAUGGGGUUAGCAUUAGCGAAGCUCUUGAUCGAAGCCCGAGUAAACGGCGGCCGUAACUAUAACGGUCCUAAGGUAGCGAAAUUCCUUGUCGGUUAAAUACCGACCUGCAUGAAUGGCGUAACGAGAUGGGAGCUGUCUCAAAGAGGGAUCCAGUGAAAUUGUAGUGGAGGUGAAAAUUCCUCCUACCCGCGGCAAGACGGAAAGACCCCGUGGACCUUUACUACAGCUUGACACUGCUACUUGGAUAAGAAUGUGCAGGAUAGGUGG